UUUGAAAAAAAAAAGAAGAAAUAAGAAAAGGAAAAGGAAAAGAAAAUUAGAGAUGGAAAAUGGGGAUAAAUUGCCUCCCUUCUGGAACUUACGGGAGUCCUCUAUCUCUCUCUCACAUUUCUAUACCUCUAUUUCACCAUGGAUACACACACACAUUCCUCCAUGGAGCGCUGCCGCACCUCCGGCAACCAUCGCCUUCCGUUCAGCGUGGCAGCCCUCCGUGUCUCCCUCUCUGUCUCGUCACAUCUCAACCUCCCUACACACCAACACACGUACAUCUCUCUCUCUGCAGCGGAUGUCCGACGGAUUUUCCGCCACCACCGUCACCGUUUUCCGGCAGGUGUGAGUUGGAAUUGUCUCCCCUUUGUGAAAUUCUUCCCCGAGAGAUAGCAUGAGCAUCGAGAAGGCGAAGGAUAAGUGAUUCAAUGAAGGAAUUCUCGGUUUUAAGAUUAGCUCUUUCGAUGUACAACUGCUCAAGUCGGGUCACUAGCCAACCUUUGUGUGUUAGGAAAAUUCUUUCAGAUAUUCUAGAUGUGGCAUAUAUAGAAAGUGUAAUGUAGUUCGGACGUUUCAUUUACUUCGCUAUCCAGGUUGUAUAAAUAUAUAUAUAUAUAUAUAUAUAUAUAAACUUUCGGAUAUGGUCUAAUUUCGGAUGAUAUAUAGCAAUUUUUCCGUUUGCCAAAAAAAAAAGAAGAAUCAAGGAUUUUAUGUUAAGUCGGGAUUGGUACUGAAAGGUGACAUCACUUAUUCGAUUAUUAAACUAAUCGGGUAAGGGGUGUUACAUGUUUUGGUAUCAGAGCCUAGGUUUAGGCGGUCGUAGGCUUGACACGUUUUAGAUGUGUAUAGAAACAUGCCACAUAGGAUUUUGAUUUAAGUCAUUGCUAGUGACCUGGUGUGUGUAUGUUUUCCUGAUGUGUACUUGUUUUCUGGCUUCAAGACUUGACAGUUUUUAGUUUCUGAGUGAUACGGAAAACCUUUCUGUAUAAGGUUCGAAUUGGUGAAUUGAGGUUGAAUAGACCGAUGAUCCUGUUGUCAUUUGGCCGGCUAUUGAAAGAAAAAGCUUGCAUAUGCUGCCCUUUAAAUUGGCUCUUCAACUUAUAUUAUAUACGAUGCCAUUCGUCGUCGUGUUCUUGCUUUCUGUCUUCCUCAAGAGUAGAACUUUCUCAACAACACCACAGAAGAAAAAAAAAAAAAAAAAAAAAAGAGAAGAGUCCGCUUUGGUUGCCCACUGAUCUGAUCAUCUAUCAACACUGGGCUUUAAAGCUCCUUUAGCUGAUAUGGUUUAGUAAUAUGAAUAUGCCAAAUGAGAGUUAUCCUUCGUGAUCUCUUCCUUUGAGAAUUGUUGUUUGGGACCCUCCAACGUGUUUGCCUUUUUGUUGACCUUAUAAGAUAAUUGAAGGAAGUGAUUUUUCCUGCUAGUACUGUUACCUUGGAGAAAUUAUCUUCUUUGAUUAAUUCCUAAUAAUUGCAUCCUUCCGCGUCAUCUAAACAUUAAGUGUUUACUUAUCCACCACCACUGUGUCAUUAUUUUCUAUACCGAGUCUGUAGCUACUUGUAGUUUAUGUGAAACCUGAUUCUGACCCUUGAAACUUGGAAUACUUUUGGUUGAACCUUCUGUCCUUCGUGAUUUAUUGUCUCUAAUCACAAUAAUCCUUUACUUGUGUGCUUUUGCCACUAAAUUUUGUUGUUGAAGUUAUUCGAGCUUAUGUCUUUUAUAUUGACAAAGCCUCUUUGAUAGUUGUUUUUAAGAGAUGACACAUUAACCAUAAUAUCUUUAGUUGACCCCUUCAAUAUAAAUUAUUGGCGUUCUUUCCUGCCGAAAUUACACUGAUUCCUUUGCCUAACCCUAUUGUUUAAAUUGUCUUCUAUCUCGAGACAUUUCUGAGACUUGAGAUUUGAGUUGAUGUUUUACCUUUGUCUCCAAUAACUCUGCUUCAAUCAUCAUCUCUAUGAGUUGUUUUUCUUUGAACUAUCUUCGAAACAUAUGGACCCAGCCAAUGAUAUGAUUCAUAUGUUCCUAUUGUUUCUUAACCAUGAUAUUUGUUAACUUAAGACCAGAUGUGGCUCAGAGAAUAUGCUAACCGGUCAUUGUUCUAUUGAAAUUUUUACCACCUCAAUCGUGCUUUUCUGACCUUUAGAUUAUUGACUAUUCGCUUAUGUCCUACAGAUGCUUAAAUUGUUCUGGGAGGUAAUAAAUAUCUGAAUUAUGGAGCAAAGUUUCCAUGUGACUGAGAAAGUAGUUAAGUGGAACUGGCCACUCCACGUAACUCGAAUCUCAGUAGUGUCCUUCUUCGACAAACCAAUGGGUUUUAACUUUGAAGUCAUUUCAUUGGACUUAUUGUCAUUUCAUUCUUACCAUCGGUUACCUUUUCCAAGCUCUUUCGGUAAUUAUUUAAUGAAAUCAUUUGAUCAGUCACUCUACUACAAUGUAUUAAAGGGAUCAUCUAUUUUCUCAUCAUUGUUGUUUCCUGUUGAUUUUCCAUUCCAUAGAAUUCGUGGAUCAACUCUUCCAAUUGGUAUCGUCAUGUCUUGAUCCGAAAUAUCUUUUUGUGAUAUCAUAUUCGUUGAACAUCUGAGAUGAUCAAUCUCUGAAUUUUCUUUUGAAGAUCAAGUUUAACCACUUAUUAUUCACUUGAUGCAUCCAAUAAGUUAAUGAUCCAUUUUUGCCUCAAUAAUUUCCUAAAUCAUGUGAACCGUAUUAACCAAUCUCUGUGUCAAUCUCUGUCUCCUGUCAUCUAAUAUUUCUCGUACAUCUACACUAGAAAGUCAUGCCUUAAUGGAUAUCUUUGUACCUGAGUUUGGAUCACCUUGUCCAGGAUCUUCUGUUUUGGCUUACUAAGAGGCAAUAUGUGUCUCCAUACCUAUUUCUUCCGUAAUGUGUAACCUUCUAAAAUUCGAUACUUUCUGUACCCUUGCCUAUUGGAGUUGGUGAUAUUUUUGACCAUCUGAUGUUAGUUUCUGCUACCAGAACUUCUAUCAAAGGUAAAUUGAUUGUCUUAUCUGUAAGUUUCUUAUGUUCCUUUCUGAAUAAUCCACCCGAGAUAUCGAGAUAUUUUCUAAUCUAUCUCUCUGGUGAAUAGUGUCUCUAUGCCUGCAUUUGAACCGGAUGUCUUAUGGCUCUUAUAUUACAAACAUUACUUUUGGUGAAGUACGGUUUGCAUGAAUCUGUCAUUGAACAAUCCAAUCUCAUUGACAAUUUUUGCGAUUCCUCUCCCCAAAUUUAUAUCACGUGUUAUCUUCGAAUCAAUCAUUUACUUUAUAUAAAGCUCUCCUUCCUUUCUUUCUUGAGUACGAGUUGUUCGAUCGAAAAUGGAACAGACUUAAGAUUUUCCUACACUUGUUAUGUUAUGAAAGUUCUCGAGGUUCAUUCGAAUCUGAGUUGUCAUAAACCUAUAAUUUGUGCUUACUGAGACUAAUCCUUGAGCCUACGAUGAUCGGAUCUGAGAUUAUCUUGCAAAACUAAUUGUUGGUGAAAGAUGGUGACUUGUGACAAACUGAAGAUUUAAAAUUCUUGAGUUCAUGUUGGUUUGGUUACUAUGAUUUAAUAUCUUUGAACUACUAUGAUAGUGAAUGGCUUACAGAAACAUCACUACAUGCUUAUGUGAUCAUUUGUGAUUCUGCUAUAUGAUGUUGAUGAGAUGAAAAAAAAAAUCCACGUCAAUGCCAAUCGUUCUGUUGUCUUUAGUGUGGUGGGCUUGGCUAGGACUAAUUUUUUUGCAUGAAUUGGGUAUAAAAUUUCCUUGAGAGAAUAUGAUAUGAAAGCAAUAUUCUGUCUAUUCGAUUCGGGUAUCAAUUUCGAGGACGAAAUUUCCUAAGGGGGGAGAGUUGUAACGACCCGAAAUUUUGUAACUCAGAAAUUAGUUAAAAAUUUGUUAGGUUUUUGAAUACAAUAUUUAAGUUGUGAGGUGUAGGAUUUUAGAAAUUGAAAUAAUUUGAAAAAAAAAAGAAGAAAUAAGAAAAGGAAAAGGAAAAGAAAAUUAGAGAUGGAAAAUGGGGAUAAAUUGCCUCCCUUCUGGAACUUACGGGAGUCCUCUAUCUCUCUCUCACAUUUCUAUACCUCUAUUUCACCAUGGAUACACACACACAUUCCUCCAUGGAGCGCUGCCGCACCUCCGGCAACCAUCGCCUUCCGUUCAGCGUGGCAGCCCUCCGUGUCUCCCUCUCUGUCUCGUCACAUCUCAACCUCCCUACACACCAACACACGUACAUCUCUCUCUCUGCAGCGGAUGUCCGACGGAUUUUCCGCCACCACCGUCACCGUUUUCCGGCAGGUGUGAGUUGGAAUUGUCUCCCCUUUGUGAAAUUCUUCCCCGAGAGAUAGCAUGAGCAUCGAGAAGGCGAAGGAUAAGUGAUUCAAUGAAGGAAUUCUCGGUUUUAAGAUUAGCUCUUUCGAUGUACAACUGCUCAAGUCGGGUCACUAGCCAACCUUUGUGUGUUAGGAAAAUUCUUUCAGAUAUUCUAGAUGUGGCAUAUAUAGAAAGUGUAAUGUAGUUCGGACGUUUCAUUUACUUCGCUAUCCAGGUUGUAUAAAUAUAUAUAUAUA
This is a long non-coding RNA of Salvia splendens (bonfire salvia), 4543 nucleotides long. RefSeq lists it as uncharacterized. The record is from RefSeq and is a predicted model, not a curated record. The transcript has 5 exons. NCBI's taxonomy places the organism in Eukaryota, Viridiplantae, Streptophyta, Magnoliopsida, Lamiales, Lamiaceae.